Molecule: small RNA, 739 nt
Filed under: Pongo abelii (Sumatran orangutan)
Lineage: Eukaryota; Metazoa; Chordata; Mammalia; Primates; Hominidae
Description: processed transcript
Source: RNAcentral
CACCAUGCCUGGCCUUCAAAGCCUUUUUGAUUCAAAAGAUGAAAUAUGCAAUCAAUACUUGCUAGAAAUGAGAACAGAGCAGUCAACCAAUAAGAAAUUCGUGACAACUCAGAAGAUCUGAUAAGAAUACACUGGACGCUUAAUAAAGGGCCUGCGUUUGAGGCCGUGGAUUGUCGGCCUGUUCUUCCAGUCAUCGUUCCUAACUGCCUACCGGUUCUGUUUUAGGGGCCCAUCCUGAUGGAGCUGCAGACUUACCGUUACCACGGACACAGUAUGAGUGAUCCUGGAGUCAGUUACCGUACACGAGAAGAAAUUCAGGAAGUAAGAAGUAAGAGUGACCCUAUUAUGCUUCUCAAGGACAGGAUGGUGAACAGCAAUCUUGCCAGUGUGGAAGAACUAAAGGAAAUUGAUGUGGAAGUGAGGAAGGAGAUUGAGGAUGCUGCCCAGUUUGCCACGGCCGAUCCUGAGCCACCUUUGGAAGAGCUGGGCUACCACAUCUACUCCAGCGACCCACCUUUUGAAGUUCGUGGUGCCAAUCAGUGGAUCAAGUUUAAGUCAGUCAGUUAAGGGGAGAAGGAGAGGUUAUACCUUCAGGGAGCUACCAGACAGUGUUCUCAACUUGGUUAAGGAGGAAGAAAACCCAGUCAAUGAAAUUCUUGUAAACUUCCAUUAAGAUUAAGUGUGUAGAUUGAGCAGGUAGUAAUUGCAUGUAGUUUGUACACUGUUGCAUUAAAAGAUG